GACGAACGCUGGCGGCGUGCUUAACACAUGCAAGUCGAACGGAAAGGCCCUGCUUUUGUGGGGUGCUCGAGUGGCGAACGGGUGAGUAACACGUGAGUAACCUGCCCUUGACUUUGGGAUAACUUCAGGAAACUGGGGCUAAUACCGGAUAGGAGCUCCUGCUGCAUGGUGGGGGUUGGAAAGUUUCGGCGGUUGGGGAUGGACUCGCGGCUUAUCAGCUUGUUGGUGGGGUAGUGGCUUACCAAGGCUUUGACGGGUAGCCGGCCUGAGAGGGUGAACGGCCACAUUGGGACUGAGGUACGGCGCAGACUCCAACGGGAGGCAGCAGGGGGGAAUAUUGCACAAUGGGCGGAAGCCUGAUGCAGCAACGCCGCGUGCGGGAUGACGGCCUUCGGGUUGUAAACCGCUUUCGCCUGUGACGAAGCGUGAGUGACGGUAACGGGUAAAGAAGCACCGGCUAACUACGUG
RNAcentral lists this ribosomal RNA (468 nucleotides) under uncultured bacterium. Its description in RNAcentral is "partial 16S ribosomal RNA". It matches the Rfam family "Bacterial small subunit ribosomal RNA", at positions 28 to 507 of the family's 1533-position model. The record is from RNAcentral.